This 2459-nucleotide small RNA is filed under the name Pan troglodytes (chimpanzee). Its description in RNAcentral is "retained intron". The record is from RNAcentral. Lineage: Eukaryota; Metazoa; Chordata; Mammalia; Primates; Hominidae.
GAGAUAUGAUGCGCAGGAGAAGCGCUUUCUUUUGCGAGCACCCUGAACCAGACCAUGACCCAGACCCUCAAGUACGCCUCCAGAGUGUUCCAUCGCGUCCGCUGGGCGCCCGAGUUGGGCGCCUCCCUAGGCUACCGAGAGUACCACUCAGCACGCCGGAGCUUGGCAGACAUCCCAGGCCCCUCUACGCCCAGCUUUCUGGCCGAACUUUUCUGCAAGGGGGGGCUGUCGAGGCUACACGAGCUGCAGGUGCAGGGUGCCGCGCGCUUCGGGCCGGUGUGGCUAGCCAGCUUUGGGACAGUGCGCACCGUGUACGUGGCUGCCCCUGCACUCGUCGAGGAGCUGCUGCGACAGGAGGGACCCCGGCCCGAGCGCUGCAGCUUCUCGCCCUGGACGGAGCACCGCCGCUGCCGCCAGCGGGCUUGCGGACUGCUCACUGCGGAAGGCGAAGAAUGGCAAAGGCUCCGCAGUCUCCUGGCCCCGCUCCUCCUCCGGCCUCAAGCGGCCGCCCGAUACGCCGGAACCCUGAACAACGUAGUUUGCGACCUUGUGCGGCGUCUGAGGCGCCAGCGGGGACGUGGCACGGGGCCGCCCGCCCUGGUUCGGGACGUGGCGGGGGAAUUUUACAAGUUCGGACUGGAAGGUGAGUCCCAGGACAGAGCUGGGCAGGCGUCGGGGGCGCCCUACCAGAGCCUCCCGGAACCCUGACGGCGCCCCCUCCCGGCAAGGCAUCGCCGCGGUUCUGCUCGGCUCGCGCUUGGGCUGCCUGGAGGCUCAAGUGCCGCCCGACACGGAGACCUUCAUCCGCGCUGUGGGCUCGGUGUUUGUGUCCACGCUGUUGACCAUGGCGAUGCCCCACUGGCUGCGUCACCUUGUGCCUGGGCCCUGGGGCCGCCUCUGCCGAGACUGGGACCAGAUGUUUGCAUUUGCUCAGAGGCACGUGGAGCGGCGAGAGGCAGAGGCAGCCAUGAGGAACGGAGGACAGCCCGAGAAGGACCUGGAGUCUGGGGCGCACCUGACCCACUUCCUGUUCCGGGAAGAGUUGCCUGCCCAGUCCAUCCUGGGAAAUGUAACAGAGUUGCUAUUGGCGGGAGUGGACACGGUGUCCAACACGCUCUCCUGGGCUCUGUAUGAGCUCUCCCGGCACCCCGAAGUCCAGACAGCACUCCACUCAGAGAUCACAGCUGCCCUGAGCCCUGGCUCCAGUGCCUACCCCCCAGCCACUGUUCUGUCCCAGCUGCCCCUGCUGAAGGCGGUGGUCAAGGAAGUGCUAAGACUGUACCCUGUGGUACCUGGAAAUUCUCGUGUCCCAGACAAAGACAUUCAUGUGGGUGACUAUAUUAUCCCCAAAAAUACGCUGGUCACUCUGUGUCACUAUGCCACUUCAAGGGACCCUGCCCAGUUCCCAGAGCCAAAUUCUUUUCGUCCAGCUCGCUGGCUGGGGGAGGGUCCCACCCCCCACCCAUUUGCAUCUCUUCCCUUUGGCUUUGGCAAGCGCAGCUGUAUGGGGAGACGCCUGGCAGAGCUUGAAUUGCAAAUGGCUUUGGCCCAGAUCCUAACACAUUUUGAGGUGCAGCCUGAGCCAGGUGCGGCCCCAGUUAGACCCAAGACCCGGACUGUCCUGGUACCUGAAAGGAGCAUCAACCUACAGUUUUUGGACAGAUAGCCCCAUGGAAAGAGACUGUCAUCAUCACCCUUUCAUUCAUCAUAAGGAUAAGAUUUUUUGUAGGCACAAGACCAAGGUAUACAUCUUCCCCUAAUGCCUAUCUGACCAAACUGGAUAGAACCACCAUAGUGAAGUGUGAGGCGGCCCUGACCAAUGUGUGAAGUAUGCACUUGGCCUGACUCAGGAAGCCAGGUGAGAAAACCAUGGUCUCUCUGCUUGCUUGGCCCUUCUGAUCAUAUAUGCAUCCCCCAAGGAUGAAAUCAGAUUUUAACUAAUAAUGCUGGAUGGCCUGAGGAAAGAUUCAACUGCCUCUCUUUUUGGGCUUUCAUAGUGUUCAUUGAUGCUGCUGGCUAAGCAUUUAUCAAAGCAUAAGCUCAGUAACUGUGCAUCUGGUCUGUACCUGGUUGGUCCUUUGUCUUUGCAUGUAAGCUCUUUGAGAGGAAGGGUGAAGCCUUAUUUGUUUUUUAUGUCCCCUGCCAGGGCCUGUCUCUGACUAGGUGUCACCAUACACAUUCUUAGAUUGAAUCUGAACCAUGUGGCAGAAGGGAUAAGGCUUUGUCUACCCCCUUCCUUCUUUGUCUUGCCCCUAGGAAGGUGAAUCUGCCCUAGCCUGGUUUACGGUUUCUUAUAACUCUCCUUUGCUCUCUGGCCACUAUUAAGUGGGUUUGCCCCAUCACUUAGUUCUCAGGCAGAGACAUCUUUGGGCCUGUCCCUGCCCAGGCCUCUGGCUUUUUAUAUUGAAAAUUUUAAAAUAUUCAUAAAUUUUAGAAUAAAUCAAAUAUUCCAUUCUUGA